CCCUUAGAUGUUCUGGGCCGCACGCGUGCUCCACUGAGUAAUUCAAUGGGUAAGGGAACGCUAGAGCAUUACCUAAUCUUGAAAUUUGCUCGUGAUGGGGAUCGACGGUUGCAAUUUUCCGUCGUGAACGAGGAAUACCUUGUAGGCGCAUGUCAUCAUCAUGCGCCGAAUACGUCCCUGCCCUUUGUACACACCGCCCGUCGCUCCUACCGAUUGAGUGAUCCGGUGAGGCUCUGGGACCUGGACGGAAAGAGCGUUUCGCUUGUUCUGUUUGGGAAACUUGGUCGAACCUUAUCAUUUAGAGGAAGGAGAAGUCGUAACA
This 322-nucleotide ribosomal RNA is filed under the name uncultured eukaryote. RNAcentral describes it as "partial 18S ribosomal RNA". It matches the Rfam family "Eukaryotic small subunit ribosomal RNA", at positions 1470 to 1796 of the family's 1831-position model. The record is from RNAcentral.